RNAcentral lists this ribosomal RNA (218 nucleotides) under uncultured bacterium. RNAcentral's name for it is "partial 16S ribosomal RNA". It matches the Rfam family "Bacterial small subunit ribosomal RNA", at positions 116 to 334 of the family's 1533-position model. The record is from RNAcentral.
CGUGAGGAACCUACCUUCAAGUGGGGAAUAACUGCCAGAAAUGGCAGCUAAUACCGCAUGUGGUUGUCUGUUGGCAUCUUCGGACAACUAAAGAUUUAUCGCUUGGAGACGGCCUCGCGGCCUAUUAGCUAGUUGGUGGGGUAAUGGCCUACCAAGGCGAUGAUGGGUAGCUGGUCUGAGAAGACGAUCAGCCACACUGGGACUGAGACACGGCCCAG